RNAcentral lists this ribosomal RNA (273 nucleotides) under uncultured bacterium. Its description in RNAcentral is "partial 16S ribosomal RNA". The record is from RNAcentral.
CUGCUGCCUUCCGUAGGAGUCUGGUCCGUGUCUCAGUACCAGUGUGGGGGGCCUUCCUCUCAGAACCCCUACGCAUCGUCGGCACGGUGGGCCGUUACCCCGCCGUCUACCUAAUGCGACGCAUGUCCAUCCUAUGCCGGAUCUCUCCUUUAACCUCCCGGGGAAUGCUCCCAAAAGGUGUUACGCGGUAUUAGGCCGGAUUUCUCCGGGUUAUCCCCCUGCAUAGGGCAGGUUACAUACGUGUUACUCACCCGUGCGCCGGUCGCCGGCAGG